Pteropus alecto (black flying fox) is the source of this 623-nucleotide long non-coding RNA. RefSeq lists it as uncharacterized. NCBI's taxonomy places the organism in Eukaryota, Metazoa, Chordata, Mammalia, Chiroptera, Pteropodidae. The record is from RefSeq and is a predicted model, not a curated record. The transcript has 3 exons.
GCGGCUGCCCCGGUGGAGAGUUUCCAGGGGAAGGCCCUCGCCCUUCCGCCUGGCCCUGCCAAGCCCUGCAGCCUCCGAGGUCCAGCCUGUGGACCCUCAGUGCAGCCUGCUGGAGAGUCCAGGCAUCCGCCAAGCUACGUGUCCACCUGGGCGCUCGCUCAGAGGCUGGUGGCCUCUAGCCACAGAUACAGGCACGACUUCAGAGGCCUACUCAGGAACCAGCCCUGUUCGUCACCUAUUUGAAUCUCACCAUCUCCAUUCGGUGGAACAGCCCUCACACUGGAACAGGUCAUGGGACGCAAGGACAGCGUGACUCUCCCGAUGGGGUGCAGCGAGAAGGGCACCACAACAUCAGGUGCAUUUAACCUGAGUCUGAUCAAGAGGAAAUGGCGGAGGAACCCAAAUUGAGAGAUCUCCUACAAAAAUAGCUAGUCAUUUCAUAAAAAAGUCAAUGUCAUGAAAUACAAAGACUUGGGAACUAAAGAGCCAUGAUGACUAAAUGUAACCCACGGUCUAGAAUCACAGGAGAAGCAGGACUAUAGCGUCGAUAGCAGAAUUCUAUCGGCUAGUUUCCUGAUUUUGAUCACUGUACUGUGAUGAUAAAUAAAUGUCUUCAAAAAGAA